This is a long non-coding RNA of Pygocentrus nattereri (red-bellied piranha), 845 nucleotides long. RefSeq lists it as uncharacterized. The transcript has 4 exons. NCBI's taxonomy places the organism in Eukaryota, Metazoa, Chordata, Actinopteri, Characiformes, Serrasalmidae. The record is from RefSeq and is a predicted model, not a curated record.
GUUAAACAAAGGAAUGGUGGGGAUUGUUUGUUGCUGUCGCCGCUGAAAGAACUCUGUUCGUGUAUGUGUGUUAGCAGGUAGCCAACCAGGCGAGAAUCCGAGAAGUGCACUUAGCAGAUUCACGGUUGGGUUGGGUAUCAACCGUGGCCUAAGUGGCACUGCUGGUCUACCGUUUGCAUACGUAUUAGCUAUGGAGCAAGUAUGCUGAGCAAGCAAUCGUAGUGGUGUUAGUAGUGCUUGUUACCUGGAGUGGAAUCGAGCCGGGGUGCUUGCGGGCCACUGUUUCUUCCCUCCACUGAGUUUUUGUUUUUAUUAUUGUGUGCCUUGCAAGUGGUAUAAGUGUUUCUUGUAUCUAUUUUUAUGGAUUGUAGUUUCUUGUUUAGGAUAUAGUAUUGGGAUUGAGGUUUUUAGGUAUUACCACUGUUAUUUAUGGAACUUUUGUAAUAGCAUAUCACAGGUCGUUUGUUCAUGGUUGCACCCUGGAAGGUGUUUACUUUUAUUCUUUUCUUUGACUUGUGAUCAAGGGGUGGGUUGCCCUGGUGCUCUGGCUGUGCCAUCUUUGGGUGUUUUAUUUGUUGUGUAGUAUUGCUGUGGGUGAUUUUUAUUUGGUGAGCGUUGGUUUGUAUGGUCAUUUGGUCAUUGAUUGGGGGUACUUUUGGGUGAAAAGCAUCAUGGGCUUGGGCACCUCCUUGGCCACAUUUGUUUAUUUGGGGCCUGUGCUAUGCUAACUAGUCUUGGUAAGUAGCCUGAAUCCCAUACAGUUAUCAAUAGUAACUACAACUUUCGAGACUCUUUGUUCUUAAUGUUUUUUUUGUAAUUGUAAAAUAAAAUGUACUGCAAUGUUA